UUCUGGCUUUUCCUUUGUUUUGAACUAAAUUUAUAAAUUAUUCAAAAAAACUUAAAGAGUGCUGAAGUAGUAAAUAAUUUUAAGUAACACAUAAGUGGACUUAGUUAAGUUCUUAAGAUUUGGUGAAAUUUGUGCCAGCCACCGCGGUUACACAAAUAAUUCUAAUGAAGGCGAUUAUUAAAAUUAAUUAAAUUUAUUUAAUUUUGUUGGAAUAACAUACUUUCUUUUUUGGGUUAAAUCUAUACAAGGAGAUUAAAUUUUCAAUAAUUUAAAAUAAUGAAUUACAAAAAUUAGGAAUAAAAUCAGGAUUAGAUACCCUGGUAUUCAAUUUACUUUAAGAUUAGGGUAGUAAAAGUUGUGCUUCAAACCCAAAGAUUUUGGCGGUAUUCUAGCCAGACAGAGGAGCUUGUUUUUUAAUUGAUGAUCCCCAUUUUAUCUUACUUCAGUUAAUUAGUUUGUAUACCGCCGUUGUCAGAUUACCUUUAAAGAGUGUUUUCUAAAAAAAUAAUUUUUAAACUUCAGGUCAAGGUGCAGCUUAUACUAAAGUUUGAAUGAGCUACAAUUAACCAUAUUAAUUACGGACUAUUUUUGUAAAAGAAAUACGAAGGAGGAUUUGUAAGUAAAUUAAUUUAAUGAUAAUUACUUGAAGCAAGGCAAUAGAAUAUGUACAUAUCGCCCGUCACUCUCUUCUUAAGAG
This 697-nucleotide ribosomal RNA is filed under the name Eubosmina coregoni. RNAcentral's name for it is "partial 12S ribosomal RNA". Lineage: Eukaryota; Metazoa; Arthropoda; Branchiopoda; Diplostraca; Bosminidae. The record is from RNAcentral.